Molecule: ribosomal RNA, 451 nt
Filed under: Alternaria conoidea
Lineage: Eukaryota; Fungi; Ascomycota; Dothideomycetes; Pleosporales; Pleosporaceae
Description: eukaryotic LSU rRNA
Rfam family: 5.8S ribosomal RNA (bases 115-268)
Source: RNAcentral
AUUCACCCGUGUCUUUUGCGUACUUCUUGUUUCCUUGGUGGGCUCGCCCACCACAAGGACAAACCAUAAACCUUUUGUAAUUGCAAUCAGCGUCAGUAACAACAUAAUAAUUACAACUUUCAACAACGGAUCUCUUGGUUCUGGCAUCGAUGAAGAACGCAGCGAAAUGCGAUAAGUAGUGUGAAUUGCAGAAUUCAGUGAAUCAUCGAAUCUUUGAACGCACAUUGCGCCCUUUGGUAUUCCAAAGGGCAUGCCUGUUCGAGCGUCAUUUGUACCCUCAAGCUUUGCUUGGUGUUGGGCGUCUUGUCUCCAGUUUGCUGGAGACUCGCCUUAAAGUCAUUGGCAGCCGGCCUACUGGUUUCGGAGCGCAGCACAAGUCGCGCUCUCUUCCAGCCAAGGUCAGCAUCCACAAAGCCUUUUUUCAACUUUUGACCUCGGAUCAGGUAGGGAU